AAUCUCGUGCCAGCCACCGCGGUUAUACGAGAAACCCAUAUUAAUAUGUGCGGCCCAAAGGGUAGUUUAAGACAUAAUAAAAUAGAAUUUAAAAUUUAUUUAAUAGUUAUAUAUAAACAUAAAAUGUAAAACCAAAAACGAAAGUUAUACUAUAUAUCCUUGAAUCUACUAUAGUUGAGAAACAAACUAGGAUUAGAUACCCCACUAUGCUCAACUUUAAAUGGACCUUCCCGCCAGAGCACUACGAGCCACAGCUUAAAACUCAAAGGACUUGGCGGUGCUCUACACCCACCUAGAGGAGCCUGUUCUAUAAUCGACAUUCCCCGAUAAACCUCACCAUCUCUAGCUAUUACAGCCUAUAUACCACCGUCUUCAGUUUACCUUCCAAAAGAAUAAUAGUAAACAAAAUAAUUUAAAAUAAAAAAGUCAGGUCAAGGUGCAGCAAAUGAAAUGGGAAGAAAUGGGCUACAUUUUUUAAUUAUUAAAAAACACGGAAUAUUCUAUGAAAUAGUAUAUAAAGGAGGAUUUAGAAGUAAAAAGAAAAAAGAGUGUUCUUUUUAAAUUGGCAAUAGAGCACGCACACACCGCCCGUCACCCUCUUCGAAAAAUUAAAUAAAUUAAAUAAAUAUAUAAAUUUUAUAAGAAAAGGUAAGUCGUAACAUGGUAAGCCUACCGGAAGGUGGUCUUAGAUAU
This 693-nucleotide ribosomal RNA is filed under the name Desmognathus quadramaculatus (black-bellied salamander). Its description in RNAcentral is "partial small subunit ribosomal RNA". The record is from RNAcentral. Lineage: Eukaryota; Metazoa; Chordata; Amphibia; Caudata; Plethodontidae.